AUGGUUUCAAUUUGCAACUGCGAAUACGCAGCCUUCCGUUCGUUCAGCCAUCACCGCCUGAAACGCUUAGCUCUGCCUUCGCCGAGACUUCAUCAACAUCUCAUGUUCCGCAACAAGCUUCUUUUCCACUGCAACAACUAUCCGACACCAUCGCAGGAUACAUGCAUCAGUUUCAACGUUGCAGUCACCACCCUUUAUCAUUCGCUACGAUUUCUGUAA
This is a non-coding RNA of Vicia faba (fava bean), 219 nucleotides long. Lineage: Eukaryota; Viridiplantae; Streptophyta; Magnoliopsida; Fabales; Fabaceae. The record is from the annotation of a GenBank genome assembly.